This 933-nucleotide long non-coding RNA is filed under the name Musa acuminata (dwarf banana). RNAcentral's name for it is "long non-coding RNA (MACU_LNC000487)". Lineage: Eukaryota; Viridiplantae; Streptophyta; Magnoliopsida; Zingiberales; Musaceae. The record is from RNAcentral.
CGGCAACCUGGAGGCCAAGAUGGGGCUGCUGGCCACGGACCAGGCGCUGUUCCUGGACCCGCGGACGAGGCCUCUGGUGCAGGGCCUGGGAAGGGACAAGGUCAGGUUCUUCGAUGCCUUCGCUGCGGGCAUGGAGAAGAUGGGAUCCAUCAGGGUGAAGAAGGGGAAGACGGGGGAGAUCAGGAAGGUCUGUAGCAAGCACCUGGCAGCUUGAUGUGCAUGGUCUUUUGUGUAUUGGCCUUGCUCUAGUCACUUUUUCUACUUCCAAAGGUAUUCAUUUGUUGAUCUGUGCGCCUCACUAUUCUUUGCUUCCUUGUUGAACCGAUCUCCUCUCUCGAACAAAGAGAUGCUGCUGCGUCUGUUCAACUGAAGUCUCUGCUGCAUUUAUUGAUCGCUUUUUCUGCAACACACUUGACUCGAUUCGAGCUGCUAUUUAUCAUACCAUUGAAAUUGUACUUUUUUCAUUAAAACAACUUAAGAAAGACAAGUUAUUGGCAAAAGAACAAGAACCUUAUGAUAUAGGCCAUGGAGUAAGAAAUCUGAGUGAAACAUGGAUAAGUUGCAGAUGUCCUUUGCCUUGAUUACUACCCUGCUGUCGAUGUGCUUCUUUGAGCAUGAGUGGCUGAACAUAUUCGAGGAACAGGAUCUAUGGACAUCAGAUAUAUCUAUGGCUGACUUCUCCUCUGCACCCUUUCUCCAUUACGCACCGGACUGGGCACUCUGUGCUGAAAUAUAUCCACCUCCAUUACCAUCUCACAAAGCAAAGUAGGCUGGCUUUCGUGGCUAUCAUCAUUUGAUAUCUGAAGAUUGCUCACUCAAUCACAUCGUAUAAGCUUUGGGUCAGUUUAGCAGAUUACAUGACAGCAUGAGAUUCCAAGCAGCAGUUUCGGUUACAUUUAUCUUCAUCUAUACCAUAAAAGAACUCAUGCUGCU